AGUCGCAUGGUCUAAUGGUUAUGAUAUCUCGUUCACAUUCAGUUGAACAUGUUCCGAGAUGGUUCUGAGUUCGAUCCUCAGUGCGACUA
Molecule: transfer RNA, 89 nt
Filed under: Cadophora sp. M221
Lineage: Eukaryota; Fungi; Ascomycota; Leotiomycetes; Helotiales; Ploettnerulaceae
Description: tRNA-Val
Source: RNAcentral